This 75-nucleotide antisense RNA is filed under the name Streptomyces subrutilus. Its description in RNAcentral is "ASpks TB sRNA". It matches the Rfam family "ASpks TB sRNA". Lineage: Bacteria; Bacillati; Actinomycetota; Actinomycetes; Kitasatosporales; Streptomycetaceae. The record is from Rfam by way of RNAcentral.
CUUGACCGAGCCGAGCCACAGCGGCUGCCGCGGGUCCCGGCCCUGGCCGUAGGUGGCCAGCAGUGCCUGCGCCUC